AUUGAACGCUGGCGGCAUGCUUUACACAUGCCAGUCGAACGGCAGCGCGGGCUUCGGCCUGGCGGCGAGUGGCGAACGGGUGAGUAAUACAUCGGAACGUGCCCAGUAGUGGGGGAUAGCUCGGCGAAAGCCGGAUUAAUACCGCAUACGACCUGAGGGUGAAAGCGGGGGAUCUUCGGACCUCGCGCUAUUGGAGGGGCCGAUGGCAGAUUAGCUAGUUGGUGGGGUAAAGGCCUACCAAGGCGACGAUCUGUAGCUGGUCUGAGAGGACGACCAGCCACACUGGGACUGAGACACGGCCCAGACUCCUACGGGAGGCAGCAGUGGGGAAUUUUGGACAAUGGGCGAAAGCCUGAUCCAGCAAUGCCGCGUGUGUGAUGAAGGCCUUCGGGUUGUAAAGCACUUUUGGCGGGAACGAAAAGGACUGUGCCAAUACCACGGUUCGAUGACGGUACCCGCAGAAUAAGCACCGGCUAACUACGUG
This 484-nucleotide ribosomal RNA is filed under the name uncultured bacterium. Its description in RNAcentral is "partial 16S ribosomal RNA". It matches the Rfam family "Bacterial small subunit ribosomal RNA", at positions 29 to 507 of the family's 1533-position model. The record is from RNAcentral.